Molecule: long non-coding RNA, 3277 nt
Filed under: Nicotiana tabacum (common tobacco)
Lineage: Eukaryota; Viridiplantae; Streptophyta; Magnoliopsida; Solanales; Solanaceae
Description: long non-coding RNA (NTAB_LNC013335)
Source: RNAcentral
CCUCACAAACUACCUUGCAUAAUAUAGAUCACAUGGAAUAGCUGACAACAGAAAUAACAUCCAAGGCCCGAAGACUCCUCCAUAAAUAAUGUUAUGCUGAAAUGAGUGCAUCCGGCCCAAUAUAGAGCACACACUCACAUUUAGAUCCAUCCACGGACCCCAAACCGAUUCUGAUAGUAAAAUACUGGACCAAUAACCUUUCAAGGAUCCACAAUAACCUUUUUCCCAUGACACAUAAGAACAACCGUCGAAUCCGAAACAACAUCCGCAGCUCACUACCAAAUGAAUAGAGCGCCUUCUAGGCCUAAACUCUCUCCUUAGCGAUAGUACCAUAAUUUCCAUACUUGGUUUCAACCUUUAAUCAAUCAAGUGACUACAUGCCACACAUAUGCAAUCUUCCCGUGGGAUACGCUCUCACGACCUCCCGCACCAGCUAACAAGUCUGCACAUCCACACCACCGGCAAUACAAAUGCUGCAAAGCAAAUCAAGAAUCCGUAAAUCGGUACACAAAGCCUCUUACACAGGACACCGAUCUCAGGUGACGCUAAAGACAAUACCAGCUUACACUAAACAUCUGAUUUUUUUCCUGCUCAUCCGAACCCAUGACAUUCUUGUCAACACCAAACUGCAAUCUUGAUCCUCAACUUUCAAAUUACAUGCUGCUCACUGCACCUAACAUGCCAAUACGCGAGAGUACAAGAAUUCCAUCAUAACUCCUGAACCACUGAUAGAAUAAACUCUACAUCAUAUAGAAGCCUUUCUCUUACCCAUUCCAGGAGAACUAUUGCAACACAUGACUGAAUUCUCAUAACCGCAAAAAAUACAAACCUCAAGUAGAGGCCUAAACCACCAUAACUCUUCCGGGAUCCAUCUACACAUAACAUGUCAUUAUAAUCGAAUGCCUCCAAUUAACUCAAAUUACGGCGGUCGUCAAGCCUCGCACGUACCUCCACCAAUCGCCUGUAUUACUUAACACAUUGAAGGAACCGAUCAUUGCCACCACCAUGCCGAUUCAACAAUUGCUAACCGAACCAAUUUCCUUCUAAUUUACCCUGGGCUUGCCUUAGAAAUAAUAAUAGCUCCAUUCAGAAUAUAACGAACCCAAUCCGCACUCAUCCUGAGUUACCCUAUUUCACGAGACCGCAUUGUCUCAAAACCCACGAACCAUCUCAUACCCUCCUUGUGCGCACAUUCGCAUCUUCAAUUGGUACACCAAUUCUAAUAAAUCCUUUAUGAAUCUGAAGUUGUUUUCUCCCAUCCUCCAAUGCUACACCGCAGACCGAUGAUAACAUAGAACACUCCAAGGCUCUGCUAGCACAUGAACACCUUCUCAGAGAAGCUCCUGGUUGGAUCACUUUCCUUGUACAUCACCUCCACAUGCAGCAUAAACUCUGAGUCUUCCCACAACCUGAAUAUGAACUGAUAAGGCCCAAUAUAGCACACAUUCCUCAAAUCCUUUGCUCAAAUUUCUUUUCCUUGGUCGUAAUGACCCACCAAUACGCCGAUAACCAGAAAACCCAUAAGUAAACAACCAUGCAAUCCAAUCAUAGACAAUAGGGCUCUCCCACUUAGCUUGAAGUUACAAUUGCAUAACCCUGGAACCCACCAAGAUUCCUUCUUCCUCAUUGACAUGAUCUGGCACAAUCGACCUGCCAAAUUUUCUCGAAAUCUUCCUGUUCAACAUUUCAUGAACACUCUGAAUCUCUAGCCACAUUUACAUAUUUGACCUCUUAUCGGAUAGCCAUUAGAAUUCUUCAUAGAAGCUUCGCCAACUCCACGCAACCGCUAACCUGCUCACCGAAGAUAACUCACCUGUGUAAAUUCCAUGCCGACACCUUCUAACGACACUGCACCGAGUACAAUUACUACGAAACCAAUAAACCAUCCUGAGCUUGUGCUCAUUCACCGGUUUUACAAGUCCGUUCACUCCCCAUUGACAUCGACUAAAGGCCCGACGAUACAUUCUAAUCUGAAGUCAUGUUGCUGCCCUCUUUAUAUUAAGCAACUCCCUCUUGUCGUAUCCAAUCUUCCUCAGUAUAGUAGCUAAUAUUCUAAAUUAGACCGUAGACCUAGUCACGGUCCACCAUGAACCCCAAAUCACUCUACACUUUCCUCAAGGUGUGUAGCAAUCCUGGCACAGAACCCAUAUGAUACUCUCCCACUUUGGUCAAACCCCCUCCUUUAAGCAACUAAUCGACUUCUGCUUCUCACAUUUGUCCUUCUAGAAAUUUAACCACCACAAGACAGCUCUCACAUGCCCUUCCUCACCCAAUUGUUGCCUAAUAGAAAUCCAUCUCUUAUAGCACUUGAACCAAUAGAUCGCCACCAACUCUAAACCUCCCUAAAGAUCAUCUUCCUCAAGCCGUCAAUAUUAGGAACACCGGUUCGAUUCUGAACCACUGCACACCGCGAUCUCUGACAGCCACUUCCCCGGCACCAUGUCACAAUACCCUGCCCCGAAGGCAAAUUGAAGAAGACCAUAACACAGACAAACUUAACACCUUUAACAAGGACAACGACGCCAUAUUAUAGACAAAAAUUCCACCAUACUCAAAAAUACCAAGUCUCAUUACUCUAUCAACCUAACCCUGAACAUUCAUAGUUCGAUUACCUUUCCUCUGCUGGAAAUAAAACACUGAACCUCUGAAUCACACACCGAGAAGAACCUCCUCUCAUGUCAUUCACUGCCCUGACAAAUAGGCAAGUAUCCUACCAUUACAUCAAUACUAUGCGAUAACAACUCACGAACAUCAUGGCAACCCGUGCAUAGCCUCAAAACCAUCAGGAAUACAGCUACUGAGCUGAAAUGACAGAACAUCCUUUCGCAAGGCGACGACAUCAGCCCAACCAAAUACGUAGGGAGAAACAUCCUGUACCAUAUCUACAGUACCCUUAAAAUUCCUCGCUUCCCAACUGAUAACAAGCGCCUAACAUCGCAUAAGAUUGAAUAGGAAAGAAAUAAAGGCAUAAGCCUCAAAGGAAUCAAAUGGCACAAUGAGGAAUCAAGAAGGGAAGUGCUCCUAACAGCCCUAUAGCCUCUCGAAGAUAAGUACAGAUGUCUCCAUACCGAUCCGCAAAACUCUACUAGACUUGUUCAUGACUCGUGAGACCUAAGUGAACCUAAUGUUCUGAUACCAUAUUGUCACAACCCAAAAUCCAUUAAAGGUCGUGAUGGUGCCUAACACCGCGGUCAGGCAAGACAACAAUAAAUGAUUAUCCUAAUUACUCAUAUUAGUAUUUGAAAUCAUAAUUUUCUUUAAUUACAUAAUACAAAAU